GGCCGUCUGGCGAAAUGGUAUCGCGUCACUUUCCGGUAUUCCGUGGAAUAUGGUGAAGAUUGUGGGUUCGAGUCCCACGGUGGUCG
Molecule: non-coding RNA, 86 nt
Organism: Daldinia sp. FL1419
Lineage: Eukaryota; Fungi; Ascomycota; Sordariomycetes; Xylariales; Hypoxylaceae
Source: the annotation of a GenBank genome assembly